Molecule: long non-coding RNA, 4976 nt
Organism: Solenopsis invicta (red fire ant)
Lineage: Eukaryota; Metazoa; Arthropoda; Insecta; Hymenoptera; Formicidae
Exons: 7
Source: RefSeq, a predicted model, not a curated record
UUAGCUUGCAACGCUGGAUGCGCUGGACACGAUCACGCAACGCACGGACUAUCGGCAUAACCUACAAAAAGAAUUUUUGGAUUAUUCAUUGCACGUGUACCAAUGAUAUAUUGGAUUGAACUAACAAUAAGAAACGUGUACAUACGCAUUCUCCGUAGAAUCGAAGUAAUCGGAAUUACAGCUCAGAUAAAUAGAAAUUAAUUAUCCUAAUUAUCUUUUAAAUAUAAGGAUCUGCUUUCGAUUCCGCACAGACUGAACAUAAAUUAUUUUAACACAGGAAAGUAAGGUAAACUUAGACCUAACCUCCAAUAGCAAUUAUAGUUUUAAAUUCGGGCAAUACGUUAGCAUUGCUCGAAAAGUUCAUUUUUCGAUGCUCAUUGCAUGCUUGCAGUGUGUUUGUUUUUUAAUUCUCUUGUUCUUUUAUUUUAUUCUAUUUUAUUCACAUUUUAUUUAUCAAUAUGCCUAAGGAUUACCAAUACUUAUCAAAAAGACGUAAAAAUCAAAUAAUUAAAUUAAAACUGUCAAAUAUUAAUAAUGAUAAAAAUCAUAAUAUUCCUAAAAUUUCUAACGAUUAUGAUGUAAGAAUAUCGGCUGAUUGCACACACAAUUUACCAUUAACAAAAAUUAAUACUCUUGGCGAAUUCAAUAACACAAAAUCAAAUCCUAAUAAUGAUAAUAAUGAUGAUAAUUAUGAUAAUGAUAAUGAUGAUAAUUAUGAUAAUGAUAAUGAUAAUGAUGAUAAUUAUGACAAUAACAAUAAUAACGAUUUAACUUUCUUAAAUAACAUGUUUUCGGCAGAACCUACAUCCGAUUCUUUAUCUAAUUCAAUAAUUGAUGAAAUAUUUAUUAAUAAUGAUUUCAAACAAACUAGUAUGCACGAAGAUCUACAAAUGAUGGUUUCAGAACGAUGUAUUCUACAGGCAACUGUGUGUUAACCAUAUGUUGCAAAUUUUACGCAAACAUGGUCACACUGAUUUACCUCUCGAUUGUAGAUCUCUGAUGAGCACACCUCGUAAUGCUUCUGAAAAUAUAAAGUUAAUUAGUGGUGAAAAAUAUAAGCAUUUCGGUUUUGUACCUGGCAUGAUACGUUGUUUGAAAACCUAUUUUAAACUGCCGCCAACAGAAAUAAAAAUUAAUAUUAAUAUUGAUGGUCUGCCAUUGAGCAAAAGUUCUGGUAGUCAAUUUUGGCCUAUUCUUAUUUCUAUUGAAACAAAUAUGAUGUAUACUGAGCCAUUUGUAGUAGGUAUGUAUCAUGGCAUGUCCAAGCCAAACGAUGCAAAUGAAUUUUUGCGCCCUUUUGUCGAAGAAGCUAGUGUGGUUUUACAAAAUGGGUUAAUUAAUGGUCAAAGUUGCAAUGUUGUUAUUAAUGCUAUAUUGUAUGACGCACCCGCAAAAUCAUUUAUAACAUAUACGAAAGGUCAUACAGGAUAUUUUGCAUGUUCUAAAUGUAUACAAGAAGGAGAUUUUAUAUGCAUCAGAGUGACAUAUCCUGAAAUUAAUUCACCAUUACGAAUCUUUUUGUCAGCGUACUCAACCCGAACACCACACAGGGACUUCUAUGUUAGAAAAUCUCAACAUUGACAUGAUUUCUCAAGUACCUUUAGAUUAUAUGCAUCUUAUUUGUUUAGGAUUAAGACGUUUAUGCCAAUUUUGGAUUAGAGGACCAAAAGAUGUGAGAUUACCAACCGAAAAAUUAGAUGCUUUAAAUAAACUUUUACUGGAAACUGAGCAGUUUAUUAUACUGGAAUUUGCGAGAAAGCCCAGAAGUUUAGACCAUAUUGACAAAUGAAAAGCUACUGAGAUGCGUCUUUUCAUACUUUAUAUUGGACCGGUCAUAUUAAAGCCAUUUCUGCCGGCGACUUUUUAUAAUCAUUUUUUGGCUCUCAGUAUAGCUCUCCGUAUAUUAGCUGAUCAAGAACUGUGUUAUGAAAAAAAUGAUUAUGCACAUUCGCUGUUAGUGUGGUUUGCGUCGGAAUAUGGUAAUUUAUAUGGAUCUGAACAUCUUUCGCAUAACGUUCAUAAUGUAGUGCAACGACGUUAAAACUUUCGGAUGCUUGGACAAUUUUAGCUGUUUUAAAUUCGAAAAUCACAUGCAAAAAAUUAAAAAACAACUUAAAAAUUCCGGUAAACCAUUGCAAGAAUUUUCAAAUCGACUAAAUGAACUGAAUCAAAUUCCGCCAGAUCAACGAUAUUUGAAACACUAUCCAAUCGUAAAUUAUUCCAAAUUCAAUAAUAAUCAAAUAAUUUCUCACCUUGAAUUUAAUAGUUUUAAAGUGUUUACUAAAAAGGCGAAAAUUAUACUUUAUUGAAAGAUAAUACUAUAGCUUCAAUUUUAAAGAUUAUCGAAGAAAAUAAUAAUUUAUAUGUACAAAUUAAACAAAUUCUAAAAGUUAAACCAUUUUUCACUACAUCUUGCGAUUCUAGACAAAUUGGUAUAUUCACAUUUUCUACAACAAGUACUUUUAAGAUCAUAAAAGUACCAGCAAUAAAUAUUAAAAGAAAAUGUAUUAAAUUAAAUCAUCCUACAUGUUCAGAUACUUAUGUAAUAAUUACUUUAUUACAUGGACAUAAUUAAAUCUUAGUAAAAAAACGUAAUAUACAUAUUUUGAAAUGUUUUACAAUAUAAAAUAUUAAUUAUAUAAUUUUUUUUAACAAAAACUACUAGAAAAAUAGAUAAAAAAGUUACCUAAUUACAUUUAUAAGUUUAUAAGUUUAUUAACAUAUUACUAUAUUUACUAAUAUAUAUUGACAUAUACCAAAAGUACAUAAAAAACUAUUUUCGUAACUUCUUACACUUUAACACCUUGACUUAUGAAUCGGAGUUUAGUAGAUGGAUUAAAAUUUUUGAUCUAUGAAUAAAAACAUUACAUUGAAAAUGUGUCUAUUCAAUAUUAAUGUAGACUAUAUUAGUUGUACCUUACAAAGAGUUUUUUUUGUUUGAAUAUGAACAGGAUACUUUGAUGAAUGUAUAAAUUAAAUAUAAUGUUUGGAAGUAUAAAUAUAGAACUACAAUAAUAUCUAUGAAUUGCGGAGAUUAAUAAUCAUUAGUUAUAUGAUAAUUUGUUCAAAUUAUCAUACAACUAAUUAAAAACAGCAAGUAGGCCAUAUUGGAUACAAGAAAAUAUUGAACAUACAUUUAUCUUAUAUCUUCUAACUUCUUCUAAAAUAUUUAAUAAAAUAUUUCUAGUAAAUAUGUUGUACUUUUCAGACAUUUCUACAAAAUUGACAUCACAAAGAUAUUAAAAAUACUAAGUAUGUUAGACUCUCGAAACUGUCAAAAAUAAAACUUAAAAAGGGCUAAUGAGAGUAAACUCGCGGUAGUUAAUGCGCAAUAAUUUUUAAUAACGUCCUUUUUACAUAAGUUACUUCUUUCUUAGCAUGAACGUUUCAGUCCCACUUCGGAUCAUCUUCAGCAUAUAUUAAUUUUUGACUUAUUACCUCUGUGGAAUAAUCGUCAAGUGUCCCUCAGUGAGUCCACAAUGCUACAAAGGAAAUAAGUCAAAAAUAUAUGCUGAAGAGAAUAGUUUGAAGCGGGACCAAAACGUUCAGGCUAAGAAGAAGGUGAUGUUAUGUAAAAAAGACUGUUAUUAAAAUUAUUGCGCACCAACUACUGCGCGUUUAUUCUUAUUAGCCUUUUUCAAGUUUUAUUUUUAACAAAUAUAUUGUAUAUUUCCUUCAAUAAAUAAAUUUAUUUUCAAGUUAAUAAUGUCCAAAAAUACAUGGUGAAAGUAUGGCGUCGUCAGAGAUACCUUCUACAAGUAGCUUUCUUCCGUAUGCAGUAGUCCGUUUCCUUUGCGAAGACAGUUUUUCUGAAGUGCCAACCAACUGGAUUGAAAAUAACGGUACUUCAGCUGAAGUAGCAAAUUUUUGUUGGUGGUCUAUAACAAAAAGGUCAGUACAUUGAUUGAAAAUCGUGUACAACCGAGAGAAGACAUGGAUGAAGUACGAUAUUGAGAUACAAAAAUACUGCUCUUCACUCAUAACCGCGCGAAAAGCAGCGUCCGACUACUUAACAACUGAUGAUGAUGCUUAGGCAGAGGUUUGCGAAAACCAAUGCCACGUGAACAGUCUGAUUCCGAAUAUGAAGAGGAAGAAAAACGCGUUGAAGCUCCUAAGAAACUAUCAGAGAAAAAGAGAUUAAAAAGUUUUCAAAAAUUGAUGCCACGUGAACAGUCUGAUUUUGAAUGCGAAGAGGAAGAGAAACGCAUUGUAACUCCUAAAAAACUACCAGAAAAAAAAAUUUAAAAGAGACGUAUUACACGGUACAACAAAAUGCAAUACAUAAUUUUUCUGCCGAUUUAAAUGUUACUCCAUUGGACUUGACUGAUAUUCCGAUAAUUAUAACCGACAACGAAAAUGUUAAUAAGAUAAACUUUAAUUAUGACAGAUUACAAGAAAUUUGUAGACUUCAAACAGCGACAUAUUUCGAAGUUCAAAACAUUUCUCGCCGACUUGCCAAAUUAGAACGCAAGCAACAGAACGUGCCAGUUGCUAAUGAAAAUGAAGAGGAUUUGGUGAAGGAACUUUUACCAUUAAAGACAAUCGUUGAAAUAAAAUAUUUUGAUAAAAUAAUCACAGAUAGUGCCAUAACAGCAUCACAAUUUAAACGGAUUAUUUCAAAAAUAGGAGGCACGACAUCGAGGGAUAGUAACCAUCGCGCUUUUGAUCGAACUGUAUGCAAUGAAUGUGCAAUGUAUUGUUCUUGGAAGGGUUUGAGGGCCAAUUUCAAAGUAUGCCAUUUAAGAUUGGUGAAAAUAAUAAAAGAAAUAAUAUGCAAGGUUAUUAUAUGCAAUAUACAGCACAUUUACGGAAACAGAAUUUGACGCUGUAGCUUCGGAGUGGCUUCGAUUCGCCAAACAACGAGCUGGACGUCAAGCACAAAAGGCAGCAGCAACACUAGCUGCAGAAGAAGCCGUAAAUAAUAAUUAAAAAAUGGCAAACUUAUGAUUUUUUUAAUUUGUUCAAACAUUUAUAUA